RNAcentral lists this ribosomal RNA (508 nucleotides) under uncultured bacterium. RNAcentral describes it as "bacterial SSU rRNA". It matches the Rfam family "Bacterial small subunit ribosomal RNA", at positions 19 to 518 of the family's 1533-position model. The record is from RNAcentral.
CUGGCUCAGGAUGAACGCUAGCGACAGGCUUAACACAUGCAAGUCGAGGGGCAGCAUAAAAGUAGCAAUACUUGGUGGCGACCGGCGCACGGGUGAGUAACGCGUAUGCAACCUACCUAUCAGAGGGGAAUAACCCGGCGAAAGUCGGACUAAUACCGCAUAAAACAGGGACACCGCAUGGUGAUAUUUGUUAAAGAAAUUCGCUGAUAGAUGGGCAUGCGUUCCAUUAGGUAGUUGGUGAGGUAACGGCUCACCAAGCCGACGAUGGAUAGGGGAACUGAGAGGUUGGUCCCCCACACUGGUACUGAGACACGGACCAGACUCCUACGGGAGGCAGCAGUGAGGAAUAUUGGUCAAUGGGUGAGAGCCUGAACCAGCCAAGUCGCGUGAAGGAAGAAAAGGAUCUAUGGUUCGUAAACUUCUUUUGCAGGGGGAUAGAGUGCAGGACGUGUCCUGUUUUGUAUGUACCCUGAGAAUAAGGAUCGGCUAACUCCGUGCCAGCAGCAGC